UACCGUUUCUUUUUGGGCGAGCAUAUGCAAUUUCGAAGAAGUCCCGGGGAAAACUUGAAAAAUUCAAAAAAGGAAAGAUCAAAACUGGAGUUUCCCUAUAAAUUAUGGCCUCGCGGACCGACAAUCCGACAAAUUCUGGCCUCGCGGACCAAAAAUCGCCAUCGUACUCUCCAAAAGCUCAAGGGAAAAAUUCAUAGUAUAUGGAUAACAAAUCGUCACCGUGCAAGGAGGCUGCUGAUGAAUUGACUCGGGAGUUGCUUAUUGCAAUCUCUUAUUUAGAACCGGAUACAGCUGGCAACACGAAUGUUCAACCACAAAGCUUUAAAAAUGAAAAUGGUGAUGCAAUGACUAAUGAUGACGACGUUGAGAAGUACAGAUCCGAGCUCAUGUCCAUCUCCGAUUUACCGCCACCUAAAGCUUCACCUGUUGCUAUGGAUCCUUGAGGGUUAAGGGGGUUGCAAUUUCUUUGGAAAGACUAUUUUGACUGAGUGACAAGCUUGUUGUGAUGUAGAACAACUAGAAUGUCUUUCAAUGCAGUUUUCUUCUUUUGUGGAAUGGUCAGAUUCGACUGAAAAUAUCUGCACUCUCGAACUCCAUGUACAAAUGUGAUCUAUGGAUCAGUUUGAGAAAGCACACAGAAAGAAAUCGUUUUGAGCUUUAUUAUAUCCUUGCCUUUUGUCUAUUA
Long non-coding RNA from Rhodamnia argentea, 685 nucleotides. RefSeq lists it as uncharacterized. The record is from RefSeq and is a predicted model, not a curated record. The transcript is spliced from 2 exons. Lineage: Eukaryota; Viridiplantae; Streptophyta; Magnoliopsida; Myrtales; Myrtaceae.